Molecule: ribosomal RNA, 498 nt
Filed under: uncultured bacterium
Lineage: Bacteria
Description: bacterial SSU rRNA
Rfam family: Bacterial small subunit ribosomal RNA
Source: RNAcentral
AACGAACGCUGGCGGCGCGCCUAACACAUGCAAGUCGAACGAGAAGCUGUAGCAAUACAGUUGUACAGUGGCGAACGGGUGAGGAAUACAUGGGUGACCUACCCUCGAGUGGGGAAUAACCAGCCGAAAGGUUGGCUAAUACCGCGUACGUUUCCCAGUCCGCGGAUUGGGAAGGAAAGCGAUGCCGUGGGUAUCGCGCUCAAGGUUGGGCUCAUGUCCUAUCAGCUUGUUGGGAGGUAACGGCUCACCAAGGCGACGACGGGUAGCUGGUCUGAGAGGACGAUCAGCCACACUGGCACUGCGACACGGGCCAGACUCCUACGGGAGGCAGCAGUGAGGAAUAUUGCGCAAUGGGCGAAAGCCUGACGCAGCGACGCCGCGUGGGGGAUGAAGGUCUUCGGAUUGUAAACCCCUUUCGGGAGGGAAGAUGGGACGAGCAAUCGUUCGGACGGUACCUCCAGAAGCAGCCACGGCUAACUUCGUGCCAGCAGCCGCCGC